AUGAAACAACAAGUCGAGGACUGGGUAAAGCAGUGUCAAGUUUGUCAGCAAGCAAAACACGAGCGCACGCAUCCGGGUGGUCUGCUGCAGCCCUUGCCAGUGCCUACGCGUCCUUGGAAGGACAUUACCAUGGAUUUCAUAGAUGGGCUUCCGAAAUCAGAAGGAUUUGAGGUAAUCCUAGUGGUGGUCGAUCGACUCACUAAAUAUGCUCACUUCUUGCCUCUGAAACACCCCUAUACAGCUCAGUCCGUAGCCACGGUUUUCAUUGAUAAUGUGGUUCACCUUCAUGGAGUUCCAGCAUCUAUUGUUUCCGACCGAGAUAAGGUGUUUACCAGUUCUUUUUGGAGGAAGCUCUUCAAGGAUAUAGGCACCAAGUUAUGCUACUCAACAGCCUAUCAUCCCCAAACGGACGGGCAAACGGAGCGUGUUAACCAGUGCUUAGAACAGUAUCUACGUUGUGCCGUUCAUGACAGCCCGGCAAGGUGGAAACGGUGGCUUCCGAUGGCAGAAUUCUGGUAUAAUUCCUCCUAUCAUACUUCUCUAGGAUGCACUCCGUUCAAGGCUCUGUAUGGG
RNAcentral lists this ribosomal RNA (573 nucleotides) under Triticum aestivum (bread wheat). RNAcentral's name for it is "partial small subunit ribosomal RNA". The record is from RNAcentral. Lineage: Eukaryota; Viridiplantae; Streptophyta; Magnoliopsida; Poales; Poaceae.